GCCGCGGGUGGAUGCGCUAGCCAGCAUUCCACCGAAGGAGCUGCCACCGGGGGUGCUGCCGCCCGCGCGUCAGAUCUGAUCCCUUCCAAGCAGGUGCGGGUGCGGCGACGCGCCAUUGAAGCCCCUCCCUGGCCAGGUGAAUUUGGUAUGCCUCCUAUCCAUCUCCUUCCUACUUUUCGUUCCCGUUUGCUUGGAUUUCGCGAGAGAUUGCACAAAAUCCGCACAUGCGUUUCCCCCUUUGAUGGGAUUUCUGGUAAGGCUACAAUGAGGGUUCCCUCCAUUGACGAUAAGGUAGAAGAUCGAGUGAUUGCUGCUUCUGCAGCAGGGUCUUACUCUUACAUGAGGAAAUUGAGUGACGUGGUGUGUUCACCACCGAUCAACAGUCCGCGGGUUGCCGCUAAUGGAGUUGAUGCUUGCCUUUUGCAAUCUUCUAACCCUGUCCGCACACGUACUGCGGAUCCUUACUUUCGAGGGUGUAUUGUUAAAGAGAAGACGGGUUUUAGAAAGGUGUGUUCGUCUUCUGACGGAGCCCUAGAAAUAGAAGAGCAUUUCGGCCAGCUUUGGCUCAUUCCUUCCCCUCCCCGCCGCCACCUCCAUAACACACCCACUCCACCCCACAAAACUGGUAAUCCUGCCGGAUUCCUGUGUUGGAUCCGGAAAGAUCUCGUGGAGAAUAGAUCAUUCCUAGCAUCUGAUGUUAUCCGGCCUCCCAUUGUGUGUUUGAUCCCACUCCAAAAACCAUCAAGCUCGUCCGCGAGGGGAUUGGCCCCGGAUCCCUUUCCUUUGCUGAAGUGGUUAAACAAGGUUCGAAGAUGGCUGACCGUCAGGGUGCUAACCCUCCUGGUGUUGCUGGUCAAGCUAGGGGUGCGGUGCAGAAACCCGCGCUGGGUGCUGGUGGAUCUAAGCAAGCGUCGGCUCCGGGUAAAGAUCAUGUCCCUCCUCAACGGCCAACUAGAUCCACUGGAUCCACCGCCACCUCCUCUCAGGUCCAAUCCUCUCAGGUUAAUGAAGUGGAAAAAGAGCAGCCUCUAGACCCUAGAUAUAAGGAUAUGAUAUGUUUCAACUGUGGUGGUCAUGGGCAUCAUGUUGGUAAUUGUGUUAGGCCUAAAGUUUGUUUUAUCUAUCAGCAAUCCCACAAUGUCAACAAUUGCUCUGCUUGGUCUAGGGUUCAGCCCACUGCAGCUUUCUUUGGUAGUGGUGCUAGUGGUCUGGGAUUCUACCAUGUUGAGGUUCUUGUGGCAAAUGAAUCCAAAUGGCUUAACUUUCAAAAUGGUGGUGUGGUUAACAUUACCAAAGGUGAAGUGGACAAGGAAAAGUUGUUGAGUCUUCUGACUGCCACAUUCUGCAAAACCAGAGCUUGGCCUUGGCAGAUUAGAGAAUUGUCCAAUAAAGAAUAUCUGGUUAGAUUCCCUCCCUGAAAGAAAGUAGAGGACUUAAUUGAACUUCAUGGGUUCAGUUUGCCUCAAGAUGUAUCUGUCAAGAUGAAUGAAUGGGUUGGGUCGUGUGACCCCUUUGGAGAACUAACUGAGGCUUAGGUGCUGAUUGAGGGGAUCCCCCCUAAAUGGUGCUCUUGGAAAGUGUUUGCACAAAUUGCAUCCAUGUUUGGUGUGCUGACUGAUGUUGAUUGGAAUGGCAUGCUUAGGACAUUCUUUGAAAAUGUGAGGAUUAAGACUGCUUGCAGAAACCCUAGUAAAAUCCCUUUUGAGAGACUGAUUGAGAUGAAGAAGAAGUUAUUUCUGCUUGGUUUCACUGUAGAAGGCUUUGAGCAGGUGGGAGGUAAAGGAUCUGUGGUGGAAAUUGAAGAUGAGGAAGAGGAUGAUGACAUUGAUGAGGACAAUGGUAAUCAGGGACAGCAUGAUCUACCCAAGAAUGAUGAACAUGAUGAUCUCAUUGAUGAUGACACUGCCAUUGAUGAGCUUGAUAAAGCAAAUCUAACAACCAGGGGUGUCAAUGGAUCUUCUGCUGGAAAAAAAAUCCUGUAACACACUAACUGAAUGCCCUGAAUCUGAUCAUGAAAACUUCAUUCUGGAGUGCAUUUCAGGCAAAAUGGAGAAUGCUAUGGAGGUUUGUAUGAAUGAGAAGAUGCUUUCCCCUGAUAAUGAUAACUUGAUUAACAAAACAGAUGGGGUUUGUACUCCUGAAAAAACUUGGCCCAAAGGGGGUGGUGAGGUAAACCAAAGUGGUAGCAUGAGUUACUGUUUGGAAUUUCUGAAAUCAGUGGAUAUGUCUGUAUCUGAUGAGGAGGAAAGUGUGGGAUAGGAGGAAGUGGGAGUUCUCUCCCCUGGUAUAGUUCAGAAAAAUACAUGGGACUGGUAUAAAACGUUCUCUGCUAGAGACACUGAACCAAGCCCAAUUUGGGAGGAACAAAGAAGACAAAAACACAAAGUGGGGGCCUGUUCAAGCCCAUAAGCAUGAUACUAGACUUCAUGGAAAUGUGGACAUAAUUAAGAAAGUUGCCCAACAUAAGAUGAAGAAGAACCCAGAGAUUCCUCAAACCUUCAAAGGUAAAUCUUUCCUACUGUUGAUUCAACUCACCUUGCUAUUCAAGUUGCUCAAGUAGGUCUUGCCAUGGGUAGAAGUAAUGAUAAUAUGUAUGAAAUUAUAGAAGAUCUAAUGGUUAAAGAACAAAAGAAAUGCAUUGCUUUUGCUAAUGAUCAACCUGAAGUUGUUCUGCCUGCUAGUAUUGACCUGGCUCAAGAAGAGCUAGUUGGGACCCCUGCUAGAGAUUUUUCUGUGUCACUAGUUGGCACUGCUGAUGAUACAGACCAAUCCCCUGCUGUCCUUACUAAGGUUAAGCCUUGUGGCUUGUCUCACCCCUUUAGGAUACCCUGAUAUGAUAGGUCUCAUAUGGAAUAUUAGAGGUUUAAGUAAGCCUGGUAAAGUUCAGUGCAUGUGUGAUGUGAUUACUAAGUCUAACCCUGGUUUUAUUGGUUUUCAAGAAACAAAGAAAGAAAUAAUUUCUGAGGGUUUCCUCAGAUCCUUGGAUGCUAAGAAACACUUUAGUUGGCAUUUUCUUCCUGCUAUAGGAUCCGCUGGAGGUGUUUUGGUUGGCCUGAAAAAUGAUAUGUUUGAUGUGAUUGGGUUUACCAAUAAUAGAUUUUCUAUUAAAGCUACUAUUAAGAACAAAUGUGAUGGGUUUUUAUGGCAUUUGGUUAUUGUUUAUGGCUCUGCCUACCCUGAGUUCAAAUUGGAUUUUGUCUCUGAGCUGCAUGAUAUCUUUGACUCCAGUUCUUACCCCGUUUUAAUUUGUGGUGAUUUCAAUUUAGUUAGAGAGAGUAAGGAGAAAAGUAAUGGCCUUGUGGACCAGCAAAGUGCUUUGUUAUUCAAUGUCUGGAUUAAUAGAUGGGGGCUUAUGGAAAUUUCUAUUUCCAAUAGGAAGUAUACUUGGUCUAAUAAUCAGGAGAACCCAGUUUUUGCUGUUCUAGAUAGAAUCUUUACUUCCUUAGACUGGGAUGCUCACUUCCCCAUGUCCUCCCUUGUUGCACUGCCCAGGGUUGGCAGUGAUCAUGCCCCUUUGGUGCUGGACACUGGGGGUAGGAGACAUUUUUGGUCAAAAAUGUUCAAGUUUGAGAAAUGGUGGCUUUCCCAACCUGGCUUUAAUCAUAUUGUGGAAGAUGCAUGGAAUUCUGUUUCCUCUGAUGUUUCAUCUGUGGAAAAUUGGAUGCUCAAAUCUAGAAUUCUUAGGAAAAAGAUUAAAGGAUGGAGUAUUAACAUUGAAGCUUCUAUUAAGAACAGGAAGAAAGCCUUACUUGUGGAACUUGACAAGUUAGAUGUCUCUUCUAAGACUCAAAUCCUUUCCCCCAGUGAGUUUGCUAGAUUAGGAGAUAUUAAAAAGGAAUUGGAAGAUAUUUGGAAAAAGGAAGAAACUGCCUUGUGGCAGAGAUCUAGAGAUAGAAAAAUCCUGGAAGGUGAUAGGAACAAUGCCUAUUUUCAAGCCUUGGCUAAUCAUAGACACAGGAAAAACCACCUUGCAAAAUUGGAAGGCCCUAAUGGGAUAUUGACUUCUACUGAUGACAUGUUGAAAGUGGCUACUGACUUUUAUAAGAAUCUUUAUGCUUUUGAACCAAAACCUGACAUACACCUUGAGCCUGAUUUUUGGGAAGUUGAUGAGAUGGUUUCUGAACCUGACAGAGAUAACCUUGAAAAACCCUUUUCUGAGGAUGAAAUCAAACAAGCUGUCAUGAGCUCAUAUGCAUGUGGGGCCCCUGGCCCUGAUGGUCUAUCCUUUUUGUUUUACCAAUCUUUUUGGGAUAUCAUCAAAAAAGACUUCAUGUGGAUGGUCAGGGAUUUUGAAGCUGGUACUCUGGAUAUAUACAGACUUAACUUUGCCCUUAUUACCCUUAUCCCAAAAACUCCUUUGGCCAGAGAAAUGAAAAAUUUCAGGCCUAUUAGCCUUAGUAACUGUGUUGUUAAGAUCUUUUCUAAAGCUAUGACUACUAGAGUCUCUCCUCUAUGUGACAAACUAAUUUCCUCCAACCAGACUGCAUUCAUCAAAGGGAGGUUCAUUUUGGAAAGUGUUGUGAUGGCUCAUGAAGUGAUACAUGAGGUUCACGGGUUUGGGAGUAGUGGGCUAGUCCUUAAGCUGGACUAUGAGAAAGCAUAUGAUAGGGUGAAUUGGGAUUUUAUUAAAGAGAUGCUCCUUUCUAGGGUUUUGGCAACAAAUGGGUUAAUUGGGUUUUUAGUACCUUGUAUCAAGGGACCUUUUAGGUCAGAAUCAAUGACACUAAUGGGCCACAUUUUGUGGCUGGAAAAGGUUUAAAGCAGGGUGAUCCUCACUCUCCUUUAUUUUUUAACUUGGUUGCUGAUGUGUUUACCAAAAUGCUACCUAAAGCUGCUAGAUAUGGUUUAAUUGCUGGCCUUUUACCUCAGGUGAUCCCUGGGGGUGUCAUCAGCUUGCAAUAUGCUGAUGACACCAUCUUAUUCUUGCAAAAUUCAAUGGUUUAUGCCAGGAAUCUGAAAUGGAUUUGGACAUGCUUUGAGAACCUUUCUGGUAUGAAAAUUAAAUUUAAUAAAAGUGAUCUACACACUAUCAAUAUUCCCUGGAUAUCUCUAAUGAAUUUGCUCAGGUUUUUUGCUACCAGUUUGGGGAUUUUGCCUUUCAAAUAUCUUGGAGUGCCUCUUCAUUAUAAGAAGCUGAGGAGGGAGGGUAUUCAACAUAUUAUUGAUGGGAUUAUUAAAAAUAGUGCUGGCUGGUUAGGUAAACACCUUUCCUACAGGAGGGAAAUUGAUUCUUUUAACCAUAUGCAUUGCCAGCAUUCCUGCUUACUUGAUGUCUGUUAUGAAAUUUCCUAAAUGGGCCAUUGAUGCCAUUACAUCACAAAUGUCUCACUUCUUUUGGGGGAAUAUGGGGGAUAACCAUAAAUAUCAUCUUGCUAACUGGGGUUUGAUUGCUCGGAAAAAAGAAUUUGGGGGGUUGGGGGUUCCUAACCUUAGAGAGUAUAAUAUGGCCCUCCUGGCCUCAUGGGGGAGGAGAUUUUAUGAUGGGAGGAAUAGUGAUUGGAAGAAAAUUAUUAGAUUCAAAUAUGCUAUUGACAAACCCAAUAUCUAUUGGGGGAAACCUGCACUGGUACACGUCGGUUCUAAACAAACAGAUUUUAACCCCUUUCCGCGACGACAUUCGGAACCGUCGCCAAGUGAGUGUGGGCGAUAGGGGGGUCCUUCCCACAUGACCCAGAAACCGUUGGGGAUAUGCCCUCCUGGCACACACGCUCGGCAAAAUGAGGCCGUGUGCGACCGACGAGCACUCAAAUACAGAAAAUAGGUACAUUAGUGCUAAAAAAAUACAAUUAUACAGGCGAAAUCAUUUCCGAUCGUAAGUACAUCCCACACAGUCAGUCACCACUAAACGUUUCCGUUCGUAUAUACAUCCCACACAGUCACUACAAGGAAAACGUUUGCGCAAGGUGGCGUAACGCAAACAGUUUUGAAGAGAAUGUCGUGUGUGAUUGUUCAUUGAUCCAACACGGUUUAUUCCUAGAAACUGUGUGCGUUGCCUGAGGUCAUCGCCCACGGUGGUUUCUCAUUAACCGUUUGCAAUAGGAAAACCCAAUUAGCAAGCUAAUUGGCCAAUUAUUAAUAAUCCAUUUACUAAUCUAAUUUACAUUCAUAUUAAGCACAUAAUAUAUUCCAUUUCCAUAUUAAGGAAGCAGGAUUUCAUAAUUGAAAUACAUCGGAGUACAACAUGAUAUAGCUUCAGCACUCAGCUAGCCCAUUACACAACUGCACCAGCAGCAAGUUUCACAUGCAACAUCUAGAACAUUUCGAAAUUAGCAUCAUAGACGGUACAUAGAGAGAUGCAUCUCAUCUGGAAAACUGCUGAAGCGGAAGGCGAAUAUUGAGCCUUCAUUCAUGUUGAAGGUCUUUGCAACUUUAGUCCAGUGCCUGUGGAUGAUUGACCAUCCAUCCUUCGACCUCUUCAGGAACACUUCAAUAUUGAACCGUGGGUGUUGUAUGAAAACUUUCCUCGCCUCCUGACCACAGAGGUGGUUUGAGAGGUAUUCAUCAGUGAAGCCUGAAAACAAGGAUGUGCAUAAAUAUCUUCUCUAUAUUGGAAAUGGGGCAAAGAAAUACAAAAAGGCAAGGUAUAGUAGUUAGUACCAUCUUGUAAACCUCAAUGCUUCCCAUUGUUUCCCUGCAACACAUAUAAGGUAGUUAGUCAUCAGGUUAAGUAAGGGUUCGCAUCCUAUCAGUAAAAUAUGUUGAUGAUAAAUAAGCACAUUGCAGAUUCAUCAGAUUAAUUCAAACCACAUGGAAAACCCAUUUAUCCAAACCAAGCAUGAUUAAGAACUAGGAAAUAUAGCACUUGUAUAUGUUUCUCAUGUAUUAAGUGCAGCCAAAUUCGAUUUAUUCCUCACAUGGUAUACAAUAAUAGAAUGCAGCCACAACAAUUGAACAUCACAUUGCAGAAUUGAACCAAGCAGUUGUGACAGCCUGGUUUUUGCCCUCUCUCAUUUGCUUGAUUUUUAUUUGGAGUCAAUUUGAAAUUUGGAGUUUUUGAAUCUUUUCAUUUGGACUUAAACACUUGGGUCCCCUUGGCUUUCACCCAAGUGCUUCAUUUCCCUCCCUAAACAUCAUUCCCCUUCUGAUCCAUCCCAAAAUAAUCUUUGGAAUAUUUUUCUUAAAUGAAAAAUAUUUAUUUUUCUCCCAAAAACCCUAGCCAGAUCAGUAUGCUCCAAAGCAACCCCAACUUUUAUGGCCCAGAAAAAUCUGAGAUAAUUCACAAAUAUUCUUUGAACCCUAGGGCACCUUCCUGAGCAAAAAUAUUUCAUCACUUUUUGGAAUAUUUUUGCUACAGAAAAUAUUUUCUGUUCUGGACAAAAAUGGUGGUUUCUACAGCAACUACCAUUUUACUUGCUCCAUUGUGCCUGAGUUUUCUUGUGCAUUUUCACCUUAGUAGAUCAUGGCUAACCUCCAAAGCACAGCCUCCAACUCCCAACCAUUUGACCACAGUAACUGCUCAAAGUUACUGACCAGAAACUUACUUGGCAUGUAAAAACUUCUCUACUGCACCUGGAUCCAAACCAAAGCGUGGUAAACUUCAAAACCACCACGAACAACAUGCCAGACAUGAUUUUUGGACGUAGGCUGGCCUGAGGGAAGAGUUCGCGCGGUGACCACGCGUGUCCACCAUGUCAUGCCUGCGUGUCGACGCGCUCUGAGUGCCGCCGAGCGCUCUGUUCGCGCGUCCUCGCUUCCCCCGUCUGCCUGAGCGUGCCAAACUUCGCCACCAUCCUCGUCUCAACGCCAUUAACUCCCCUCUGGCGCUCGCCGACGCCGGAGCUCGCCGCAGCGAGCACGGGCACAGUCCGGCCAACCCAACAGUGCGGUGCACACUGUGCUCGUCGCCUUCUCCUCGUUCCUGUGCUCGUCCCCAUUCGCCAGCAGUUGCCGAGUGAGCUGCGUCGCCUUCUCCCCCCUCUCACUGACGCCGCUCGUCGCCGGGCGCCGUCGACAGGUGUCCACCGACGGAGCCCGAAGCCCCCUCUCCGCUCGCCUAUAAAUGGAGCCGCCCCCAGCCUCCUCGAGCACCAUCCAACACUCCCACACACCCCACAAGCACGUAGGAAGCCGUAGCCCGGCCGGGCAGGCCGCGGGCCACCGUCCUCGAGCUCGAGCUCGCCGGCGAUCCCCUCUGGUCGCCGCGGUAGCUCCAGCCCCUCCCAGGCCAGGGCGAACCUUCCAGGUCCUCCGCCUCUCUCCGGUGAAGCCAUCCCGUCCCUCUGGAGCCCCUGGAGUUGCCUCUGCCCACCGUCUUCCUCAUCUCCGGCGACCACCGCAUUCUGCCUCCGCUUGCGAGGUCGAAUCCGACGCCGUCCGACCACCCCUAGCUACGCUACGGGUACGGGCAGGUGCGCCUCCGUCCCCUCUUGCCAUCCCUCCCUCUUGUUUUGGCCAAGGAGCCCUCGUCGCCGCUGAGAGCUCCGGCGAAGCCGCGACUCCCUCUGUUUCCUUCUCCCCCUCCUCACCUGACUAGCGGGGCCCGCUAGUCAGCCACUCUGUACGCGCGCGAAGCGGUACGAGUGGUGGCGCCCCUGGGCUUUACGCCUUCGACGUCACCCCCCAGUCUGUUUAUUUUUAUUCAAAUUCAUUUGAAUUUACAUAACACUUCAAACAGCCAUAACUCUUCAACCAUAAGUCCAAAUGAAUUGAUUCUUUUUGCAUUUUGUUCUUUGCAAAGAAAUCUAGCAGCUCACCAAAGAUGAGAUUUUUCUGAGCUGUUUAGAAUUUUUGGUGAUUUUCAGAAGUGUUCUUGAUAUUUUCUUUUUGUGUUUAAAAUUAUUUUCAGAAGGUGAGGCUUGUCUUGAGGAUCACCAGAAGGCUUGUGAACCUCAUCUGCACUAAGGCAAGCCACAGCAACAUUUUCAUGGUGUCAUUUCAAUAUUUAUGAUUUUCUUACUUGAAUGAAAUGAUUAAUCCAUGCUAUGACACUUGAUGCAAAAUAUUUUAGUUAAAAUGUGAGUUACCUUGACCAGCAAAGUAAUAUAAGUUGUUGAUGUUUAUGCUUAGUGUGAAUAUGGAUGACAUCAGUCAUUUUCGUUAAUAAGUGAUGCAUGUGUAGUUUUGCAUUUCAUGGCAUGCUAUGACACCGGUCAUUUUCAUUUUAAGUUGAACCUGAAUAUAACUCAACUUGAAUAUAUUGUUGACUGGGUCAUGGUGCCGCUGAAUCGAGUUUUUCCUAGUGCAACCACAUUUGCCUUUGUGGGAAGGCCUUGAUUUGGUCCAUUGACAUUGCCUCUGGUCGGUGCCUCCAACUAGGGAAGGUUAUGGCAUGCUUACCCUGGCCCGGUAAGCAGGCAUAACCUUGUGUGCCCGUUGUUGAGAUUAUGGUAUCGGGUCCCCGAGUGGGAUCAUUUUGGCCACGACGGUGGUCGUUGUGUCUUUGGUAGACACAAGGCCACCUAGGACUAGCCCGUUGGGGAUUGGGUCGGAGUGGCCGGGAGAGUGUCAUGGAAAUGGAAGGGUUUCGUCGGAAUGCCGUUGGUCCACCCGAAUGGGAGUGCGAGGCCAUGGGUUCCGUGGUGUGGGUACAGUGUGCUACCUCUGCAGAGUGUAUAAUCUAUCGAUAGCCGAGUCCACGGUCACGGACACCUUGUAGUAGGUCCCACCAUGAGUCAACGUUUAAUAAAAUAUGCACACUAAGUUAUGAACUUUGCACUGUUGAUGAUGGCUGAAAGGCCAUUGAGAUGUUCGGGACCAAAUAUUGGUCGUGGUUGUGAUCGCCGUAAGGAUCACGAGUUACUCUUGUCAAGACCACGAUGGUGGUUUGUUUGUGAUCCGAGGAUGAUCACGGUUGGUAAGUCCGUCCCGAGGGACGUUCGAGCAUGAUCACAGCAUGUUGGAUAGUGUUGCAUUAUUAUUAAUUGGUUAAUUAUCAUGAUAUUGUUUGCCAUUAUGAUUAUGCCUGUUGUGAGCUUGCAAGUACAUUCAAUGUACUGACCUGGCAUGUCAUGCCAGAUUUUAGGAAAGUCUCGUUGGAGAGGAGCGCUGCUCGAGUCUAGAUCGUGUCCACAUCGGUGUCCCUGUGAUAUGGAGCUUCCGCUACGACGUUAUUCCGCUGUCGCGUAGUUGUUAUGAUCGAGGCCCCUUUAUGUUCACUAAAUAAUGUACAUAUUGUUCAGCCGCACCGGGCGUGCCGUUUGGCCUCGACAACUGUUGUAAUAUAAACUCUGAUCCGCUAGCAUCAAUAAAGCGGUUGUUUUCUGUACCAAGAUGUUGUGUGUUGCCAGAAGACAUGGUCUCUGGGCUGGCAAUGCAUGGUAAACCGGUCGCUCUGAGCCGGGGUGCCACAAUGUUUGGUAUCAGAGCCGCACUGACUGUAGGCCAUGCUAGACUACGACGUGUUAACUGGACGUUAGAUACGAGUUUAAGUUGAGUGCCGGUAGCAAUUGUAGCUGGUUGUUGCAUUGCAUGCAUUUGGUUUAUAUUUUUAUGCUAACCUGCUAAUGGUUGUGAGUGUAGAUGGCUCCGGUGCCGUAUCCGUGCCAGUUGCAGCCGAUGCCGUACACGUCACCGCACCUCCUUCGCAACGUGUGGCGUCGGCUGUACCCUCUCGGAGACGACCCAGUCUAUCGUGUGUACCGGGAGCGUCUAGCUGAUUCGGUGUAUGAGUAUCACGCAGUGGUCACUCUGUGCACUAGUUCCGAUUCCAGCUCUUACACUCGUACUUCUCGGAGCGGUUAUGCCUCCACCGCUUCUCAGGCUGUCCAGUUUGCUGCAUUCGAGGUCCUUGUCGAGCUUCGCUACAACGAGGUCUGAAUGCAGAACCACCGAGGUUUCUAUUACUACCCUUCUCUGCACGAUAAUGGUCGUGUCCGUUUCCCUAUCAUUGAUCCGGAGUCUGAUAGUGUUGCUAGCCACCUUGCUCAUUAUGUCACUGCUAGCUAUCUUAUGAUCCACGAGCUGGCGCGAGAGCUGACUCGUGCCCGUACUGCUUUAGCCACUGCUUUAGUCACUACUAGAUCUGCCACUACUCCAUCUUCUCUGGGAUUUACCCCUUAUAUUCCAGCCAGUUCUAGUUCCCCUAUUUCACCAGUUACUCCUCCGAGUAGCACGGGCGUCUCGGCCGUGAAUCCUCUCAGUACUCCUGCCGAGUGGGUUUCACUUCUCGCUACUCCUGUAGCCCCGAUGCUUCAUCCUACCCCUGCCCCUGAGGGAGAGCCCUCAAGGCAGCGCCGUCAUGUUACCUUUAACCCGGAGGUUUCCGUUAACCUCGUCAGUUUAGGAUCCGAGACCGCUUCAGGGGAGGACACCGCAGCACCAGCAGAGCAGUAGUAUCUUUGAGUAUUCGUAGUCGUCCGGAUGAUGUACGGAUGUAGUCGUACGAGUCAUGAGGCUUCAUUGCAUGUAUGAGAGUAGUUGAACCUGGCGUGUUGUUUAUCUUUCAUGUAUGAGUCUAUGUAUAAUUAUGUUGGGACUUUAUUCAUCGUAUUUUCUUCGCUCUUUUGUUUUCUUCCGGGAUUUGUUGCUGGCUUUUCCCCAAAUUUAUUCUUGGAUGUUUCUCAUCUCGAUUGCGUUGUCUUGGGAAAAAUCCACAAUAGGAUGACGCGGGGAGGCAACAAUAGCAACGUUCGUGAGGGAACUCCUGUUCGUCGUUCCGCACGACAGGCAGGACAUUCUCCCGAGCCGUACAUUCCGCCACCACCUCCACCGCCAAAUCCGCCCUCCACCGAGCAAAUUCUGCGUAUGUUUGAGGAAAGAAGGAACAAUGAUCUGAUCAAAAUAUUAAGAAGUGUGCAAGCUAUGGUUGGACAAAAUGGAAAUCAGAACGGUUAUCACUCAAAGCUGUCAGAUUUUCAAAGGACCAAGCCACCCAGUUUCAGUCAGAUUGUUGACCCAUUGGAUGCAGACGAUUGGUUGCGUACCAUUGAGAAAAAGCUUGAGAUUGCUCGUACUGAAGAAAAUGAUAAAGUUCCAUUUGCAACUCCUUACCUUGAAGGCGCAGCUGCCAUAUGGUGUGAAAAUGCAAAAGCCGUGUGGCCUGUUGAUGAAGAAAUCACCUGGGAAAAGUUUAAGGAUCAGUUCCGGAAAUAUCAUAUCCCUACUGGAGUUAUGAAGACCAAGCAGCGUGAAUUUCUCGCACUCGUCCAAGGAAAUCAGUCCGUGGGUGAAUAUUUGCAAAAAUUCAAUCAUCUGGCCCGUUACUCUCUUUAUGACGUGGCCACCGAAGAAAGGAAGAUUGACAGAUUCCUUGGAGGCUUAAAUCCGCAACUCCGGUGUACUCUCAGUAUGCUUGAUUUCCCAGAUUUCCAAACUCUGGUGAACAAGGCUUUCAUUGCUGAACGGGAGCACAAGCUUAUAUCAGAUAAUAGGCCUGUUAACAACAACAACAAGCAUAAGUUUGAGCCAAAGAAGGAUGGACAACCAGUGCAAAAGGCUCGUACCUGGCAGCAGACAAAGGUGGAAUACAAGCCAAAUUGGCAACAAAAUGUUAACAAGACCAGCACUCAGGUCAAGAAUGUCGUGACCAACCCAAUGCAUGAGGAGCGUCAGCGCAAUAAUUCUUGCUUCAGUUGUGGGCAGAACGGACAUUAUGCAGGCAGUGCCCCAAGAACAACAAGGCGAAUGCCCUAAUCAGGCCACAAGUCAACUUUAUGGAGUCAUACCCGACCCAGCAAAACUUCACUGGGCAUGUGCAUCAUAUCUCCGCCGAUGAAGCCCAAGAGAAACCAGAAGUCGUCAUUGGUAUGUUUUCUGUUAAUGACAUACCUGCCGUAAUUUUAUUUGACUUUGGGGCUUCCCAUUCUUUUAUUUCUCGGAGUUUUGCUGCCCAAAACAAAUUUCCUUGUACGCUUUUGGGCAAAAAUAUGCUGGUACAAACCCCGGGAUCCAUAAUCAAGAGCAAUCUUGUCUGCCGUGAUCUGGAAAUCAAUAUCAACGGAGUCUACUUUCCAACCUCUCUGAUAAUCAUUGAGUCUGAAAAGUUGGAUAUUAUAUUGGGUAUGAAUUGGUUGACCAAAUAUCAAGUUUGCAUAAACUGCGCAACACGAGAAGUCACUUUGACUAGUCUGAAUGGGCAGACUACCAAAUUCUAUGCUCGCAAGAAUAUACCCAAGCAAGAAUUGGUUUGCACUGCUGUGGCUGAGUUGGAAUUAAUCCCUGUGGUCAGCGAGUACCCUGAUGUAUUUCCAGAAGAACUGCCAGGCAUGCCACCAGAUCGGGAACUGGAAUUUGCAAUAGAUCUUGUGCCCGGAACUGCACCGUUAUACAAGAAGUACUACCGGAUGCCCUCAUCAGAAUUAGUGGAGCUAAAGAAACAGCUUGAUGAACUGCUCCAGAAAGGAUAUAUUCGUCCCAGCUCUUCACCAUGGGGAUCACCUGCUAUUUUCGUGGACAAAAAGGAUGGCAGUCUCCGCAUGCGCGUAGAUUACCGCCAGCUGAAUGAGGUCACCAUCAAAAAUAAAUAUCCGCUGCCAAGGAUUGUUGAUCUGUUUGAUCAGCUCAGUGGGGCUAAAGUAUUCUCUAAGAUCGAUUUACGGACCGGAUAUCAUCAGCUCAAGAUUAAAAAGGAGGAUAUUCCUAAGACCGCAUUCACUACUCGGUACGGUCUUUAUGAAUAUACCGUGAUGUCCUUUGGUCUCACCAAUGCCCCUGCCUUCUUCAUGCAUAUGAUGAACAAAGUAUUCAUGGACUUCCUCGACAAAUUCGUGGUAGUCUUCAUCGAUGACAUCCUCAUUUACUCCACGGGUGAAGAAGAGCACAAGGAUCACCUCCGAGCAGUGCUACAACGACUCCGCGACCAUCAGCUAUACGCCAAAUUCAGUAAAUGCGAAUUUUGCCUCAAGCAAGUUGGGUUUCUCGGACAUGUACUAUCCGCCGAAGGUAUAGCCGUGGACCCGAGCAAAGUAAAGGAUGUGCUCGAUUGGGUGCCGCCCACGACCGUGACGUAGAUCCAGAGUUUUCUCGGAUUAGCUGGAUAUUACCGUCGUUUCAUUGAAGGGUUUUCCAAGAUUGCUAAACCCAUGACGGAGCUGCUCAAAAAGGAUAAGAAGUUUGAAUGGACGGAGGAUUGUGAGAAAUUUUUUAAUGAGCUAAAGAUACGUCUGACAACCGCACCUGUGUUGACUCUUCCAGACAUCUAUCGCAGUUUUGAUGUGUAUUGCGACGCCUCCAGGCAAGGCAUUGGUUGCGUACUCAUGCAAGACAGCAAGGUAGUAGAAUAUGCAUCGCGACAGCUACGACCCCACGAGGGAAAUUAUCCUACUCAUGAUUUGGAAUUGGCUGCGGUGGUUCAUGCGCUAAAAAUUUGGAGACACUACCUCAUUGGAAAAUGGUGCCAAAUUUUUACCGACCACAAAAGUCUCAAAUACAUCUUUACUCAGCCAGAUUUAAACCUCCGUCAACGAAGAUGGCUAGAGUUGGUCAAGGAUUAUGACCUUGGAAUAAAUUACCACCCGGGUAAGGCCAACGUGGUUGCCGAUGCACUCAGUCAAAAACCCGUCAGCUUGAAUGUCAUAUUGAAAUCCUUGCCUCCUGAACUCCAAGAGGAGAUUGCUCAGCUCAACCUGGUCAUAGUGGAUGCUGGCCUCGCCAAUAUUUUGGAAGUUACCCCCACACUUGAGGUAGAGUUCCGCAAGGCCCAGCCAGCUGACGCCGAGCUGCAAAGACGUGCCAAGGGCCAGAUGGCAGAACAGACCCCAGAUUUCUCCAAGGACAAAUUCGGUACCCUCCGAUUCCGUGGACGGAUUUGUGUACCCAAUCAACCAGACUUAAGGAAGAAAAUCCUGUCAGAAGCACACGAAUCCUCAUAUUCCAUUCACCCGGGAGGUACGAAAAUGUAUGAGGACCUUAGACAAAUAUUCUGGUGGGAUGGAAUGAAGAAAGACAUUGCCUAUUUUGUGGCCUGUUGCGACAUAUGUAACAAGGUGAAGGCAGAACAUCAGAAGCCAGCCAGACUCCUCCAACCGCUGCCGGUUUCACAAUGGAAAUGGGAUGACAUUUGUUGGAUUUCAUUACGGGAUUGCCUAAGACUCAGUGAGGCAAUGAUGCAAUCUGGGUCAUAGUGGACACCCUAACCAAGGUUGCUCACUUCAUUCCGAUCAGCACCAGAUACAGAGCAGAUCAACUUGCACAGCUGUAUGUAUCCAGGAUAGUCAGUCUGCAUGGAGUACCCCGAACUAUCACUUCCGACCGAGGUUCCCUGUUCACCUCCGCUUUUUGGUCAUGCCUCCAUCAAGCCUUGGGGACAGCACUGAAAUAUAGUACUACUUAUCAUCCUCAGACGGAUGGACAGAUAGAACGGGUAAAUCAAAUACUUGAAGAUAUGUUGCGAGCCUGUGCUUUAGCCCAAGGACCUAAAUGGGAAGACUGCUUGCCAUAUGCCGAGUUUUCCUAUAACAACAGCUUCCAGACCAGUCUAAAAACGUCACCGUAUGAAGCUCUGUAUGGCCGUAAGUGCCGCACUCCUUUAAAUUGGUCUCAAAUUGGAGAUAGCCGUAUCUUCGGAACAGAUCUCAUGAUGGAAGCUGAGAAAAAAGUUAAGGAAAUCAGAGACCGAUUGCAAUUGGCCAAAUCUCGACAGAAAAGUUAUUAUGAUGCAAAGCACCGACAGAUCCAUUUUGAACCCGGAGAACACGUAUACCUCCGAGUCACUCCUAUGAAAGGAGUCAAGAGAUUUCAGACUCGUGGAAAGUUGGCACCCAGAUUUAUUGGUCCAUUCCCGGUUAUGUCUCGAGUGGGUACUGUUGCAUAUCAAUUGGAACUACCCGCUGAAUUGUCAGACGUGCACAACGUGUUUCAUGUUUCACAAUUGAGACUAUGCAUAUCCCCGCCUAAGAAAAGGACUGCUAUGGCUGAGGUAGAGUUGGCAAAUGAUUUAACUUAUGAAGAGAGACCGUUUAGAAUUUUGGAUCAGAUGGAAAGGGUCACUCGCAGUAAAGUAAGGAAAUUUUACAAAGUUCAGUGGGAGCAUCACACAGAGUCAGAAUCAACUUGGGAGCGGGAAGAAUGUCUACAGUCACAUUAUCCAGAGUGGUUUUCCCAAGCAACCGAAUCUUGAGGACGAGAUUCAUUCUAAGUGGGGGAGGUUUCUGACAGCCUGGUUUUUGCCCUCUCUCAUUUGCUUGAUUUUUAUUUGGAGUCAAUUUGAAAUUUGGAGUUUUUGAAUAUUUUCAUUUGGACUUAAACACUUGGGUCCCCUUGGCUUUCACCCAAGUGCUUCAUUUCCCGCCCUAAACAUCAUUCCCCUUCUGACCCACCCCAAAAUAAUCUUUGGAAUAUUUUUCGUAAAUGAAAAAUAUUCAUUUUUCUCCCAAAAACCCUAGCCAGAUCAGUAUGCUCCAAAGCAACCCCAAAUUUUAUGGCCCAGAAAAAUCUGAGAUAAUUCACAAAUAUUCUUUGAACCCUAGGGCACCUCCCCGAGCAAAAAUAUUUCAUCACUUUUUGGAAUAUUUUUGCUACAGAAAAUAUUUUCUGUUCUGGACAGAAAUGGUGGUUUCUACAGCAACUACCAUUUUACUUGCUCCAUUGUGCCUGGGUUUUCUUGUGCAUUUUCACCUUAGUAGAUCAUGGCUAACCUCCAAAGUAUAGCCUCCAACUCCCACCCAUUUGACCACAGUAACUGCUCAAAGUUAGUGACCAGAAACUUACUUGGCAUGUAAAAACUUCUCUACUACACCUGGAUCCAAACCAAAGCGUGGUAAACUUCAAAACCACCACAAACAACAUGCCAAACAUGAUUUUUGGACGUAUGCUGGCCUGAGGGAAGAGUUCGCGCGAUGACCACGCGUGUCCACCAUGUCAUGCCUGCGUGUCGACGCGCUCUGAGUGCCGCCGAGAGCUCUGUUCGCGCGUGCUCGCUUCCCCCGUCUGCCCGAGCGUGCCAAACUUCGCCACCAUCCUCGUCUCAACGCCAUUAACUCCCCUCUGGCGCUCGCCGACGCCGGAGCUCGCCGCAGCGAGCACGGGCACGGUCCGGCCAACCCAACAGUGCGGUGCGCACUCUGCUCGUCGCCUUCUCCUCGUUCCUGUGCUUGUCCCCGUUCGCCAACAGUUGCCGUGUGAGCUGCGUCGCCUUCUCCCCCUCUCACUAACGCCGCUCGUCGUUGGGCGCCGUGGACAGGUGUCCACCGGCGGAGCCCGAAACCCCCUCUCCGCUCGCCUAUAAAUGGAGCCGCCCCCAGCCUCCUCGAGCACCAUCCAGCACUCCCACACACCCCACAAGCACGUAGGAAGCCGUAGCCCGGCCGGGCAGGCCGCGGGCUGCCGUCCUCGAGCUCGAGCUCGCCGGCGAUCCCCUCUAGUCGCCGCGGUAGCUACAGCCCCUCCCAGGCCAGGGCGACCCUUCCAGGGCCUCCGCCUUUCUCCGGUGAAGCCAUCCCGUCCCUCUGGAGCCCCUGGAGUUGCCUCUGCCCGCCGUCUUCCUCAUCUCCGGCGACCACCGCGUUCUGCCUCCCGCUUGCGAGGUCGAAUCCGACGUCGUCCGACCACCCCUAGAUACGCUACGGGUACGGGCAGGUGCGCCUCCGUCCCCUCUUGCCAUUCCUCCCUCUCGUUUUGGCCAAGGAGUCCUCGUCGCCGGCGAGAGCUCCGGCGAAGCCGCGACUCCCUCUGUUUCCUUCUCCCCCCUCCUCACCUGACUAGCGGGGCCUGCUAGUCAGCCGCUCUGUACGCGCGUGAAGCGGUACGAGUGGUGGCGCCCCUGGGCUUUACGCCUUCGACGUCACCCCCCAGUCUGUUUAUUUUUAUCCAAAUUCAUUUGAAUUUACAGAACACUUCAAACAACCAUAACUCUUCAACCAUAAGUCCAAAUGAAUUGAUUCUUUUUGCAUUUUCUUCUUUGCAAAGAAAUCUAGCAGCUCACCAAAGAUGAGAUUUUUCUGAGCUGUUUAGAAUUUCUGGUGAUUUUCAGAAGUGUUCUUGAUAUUUUCCUUUUGUGUUUAAAAUUAUUUUCAGAAGGUGAGGCUUGUCUUGAGGAUCACCAGAAGGCUUGUGAACCUCAUCUGCACUAAGGCAAGCCACAGCAACAUUUUCAUGGUGUCAUUUCAAUACUUAUGAUUUUCUUACUUGAAUGAAAUGAUUAAUCCAUGCAUUUAAAUAACUAUUAUGUUAUUUAUAUUCUAUUAAGUGUUUGUUAGUUAUUGUGUUUGAUUUACAAAAUGUUGAAACUAGCUUAGUUGGUAAAGCAAAGCUAAGAUCUAUUUGUGGUGAUAAAAAUAAUUUUGUUAUGCAUGUUAGGAAUUACUUAAAGUUAUUUUCUUACAUAAAUAAAAUGGUAAAAAUUUGUUAGAAAAUAUAUUGUUAUGUACUUGUUUAGUCAUUUUAUUUGACUUACAUAAUGUUUGAACCUAACUUGGUUGGUAAAGAAAUUAGGAUUUGUUUGUGGUAUAAUCUUUGCUAUGCAUGUGAGAAAUUAAUCAGAGUUACGUUCUUGCAUGAGCAAAUAAUAAAACUUGCUGCAAAAUAUUUUGGUUAAAAUGUGAGUUACCUUGACCAGCAAAGUAAUAUAAGUUGUUGAUGUUUAUGCUUAGUGUGAAUAUGGAUGACAUCAGUCAUUUUCGUUAAUAAGUGAUGGAUGUGUAGUUUUGCAUUUCAUGGCAUGCUAUGACACCAGUCAUUUUCAUUUUAAGUUGAACCUGAAUAUAAUUCAACUUGAAUAUAUCGUUGACUGGGUCAUGGUGCCGCUGAAUCGAGUUUUUCCCAGUGCAACCACAUUUGCCUUUGUGGGAAGGCCUUGAUUCGGUCCAUUGACAUUGCCUCUGGUCGGUGCCUCCAACUAGGGAAGGUUAUGGCAUGCUUACCCUAGCCCGGUAAGCAGGCAUAACCUUGUGUGCCCGUUGUUGAGAUUAUGGUACCGGGUCCCCGAGUGAGAUCGUUUUGGCCACGACGGUGGUCGUUGUGUCUUUGGUAGACACGGGGCCACCCAGGACUAGCCCGUUGGGGAUUGGGUCGGAGUGGCUGGGAGAGUGUCAUGGCAAUGGAAGGGUUUCGUCGGAAUGCCGUUGGUCCACCCGAAUGGGAGUGCGAGGCCAUGGGUUCCGUGGUGUGGGUACAGUGUGCUACCUCUGCAGAGUGUGUAAUCUAUCGAUAGCCGAGUCCACGGUCACGGACACCUCGUAGUAGGUCCCACCAUGAGUCAAUGUUUAAUAAAAUCUGCACACUAAGUUAUGAACUUUGCACUGUUGAUGAUGGCUGAAAGGCCAUCGAGAUGUUCGGGACCAAAUAUUGGUCGUGGUUGUGAUCGCCGUAAGGAUCACGAGUUACUCUUGUCAAGACCACGAUGGUGGUUUGUUUGUGAUCCGAGGAUGAUCACGGUUGGUAAGUCCGUCCCGAGGGACGUUCGAGCAUGAUCACAGCAUGUUGGACAUAUAGUGUUGCAUUAUUAUUAAUUGGUUAAUUAUCAUGAUAUUGUUUGCCAUUAUGAUUAUGCCUGUUGUGAGCUUGCAAGUACAUUCAAUGUACUGACCUGGCGUGUCAUGCCAGAUUUCAGGAAAGUCUCGUUGGAGAGGAGCGCUGCUCGAGUCUAGAUCGUGUCCACAUCGGUGUCCCUGUGAUAUGGAGCUUCCUCUACGACGUUAUUACGCUGCCGCGUAGUUGUUAGGAUCGAGGCCCCUUUAUGUUCACUAAAUAAUGUACAUAUUGUUCAGCCGCACCGGGCGUGCCGCUUGGCCUCGACAACUGUUGUAAUAUAAACUCUGAUCCGCUAGCAUCAAUAAAGCGGUUGUUUUAUGUACCAAGAUGUUGUGUGUUGCCAGAAGACAUGGUCU
This 19700-nucleotide long non-coding RNA is filed under the name Triticum aestivum (bread wheat). RNAcentral describes it as "long non-coding RNA (TAES_LNC008780)". Lineage: Eukaryota; Viridiplantae; Streptophyta; Magnoliopsida; Poales; Poaceae. The record is from RNAcentral.